UCGUAACAAGGUUUCCGUAGGUGAACCUGCGGAAGGAUCAUUACUGAUUUGCUUAAUUGCACCACAUGUGUUUUUCUUUGAAACAAACUUGCUUUGGCGGUGGGCCCAGCCUGCCGCCAGAGGUCUAAACUUACAACCAAUUUUUUAUCAACUUGUCACACCAGAUUAUUACUAAUAGUCAAAACUUUCAACAACGGAUCUCUUGGUUCUCGCAUCGAUGAAGAACGCAGCGAAAUGCGAUACGUAAUAUGAAUUGCAGAUAUUCGUGAAUCAUCGAAUCUUUGAACGCACAUUGCGCCCUCUGGUAUUCCGGAGGGCAUGCCUGUUUGAGCGUCGUUUCUCCCUCAAACCGCUGGGUUUGGUGUUGAGCAAUACGACUUGGGUUUGCUUGAAAGACGGUAGUGGUAAGGCGGGAUCGCUUUGACAAUGGCUUAGGUCUAACCAAAAACAUUGCUUGCGGCGGUAACGUCUACCACGUAUAUCUUCAAACUUUGACCUCAAAUCAGGUAGGACUACCCGCUGAACUUAAGCAUAUCAAUAA
This 541-nucleotide unclassified non-coding RNA is filed under the name Candida albicans. RNAcentral's name for it is "sequence contains 18S rRNA gene, ITS1, 5.8S rRNA gene, ITS2, 28S rRNA gene". The stretch from base 183 to 336 matches the Rfam family "5.8S ribosomal RNA". Lineage: Eukaryota; Fungi; Ascomycota; Pichiomycetes; Serinales; Debaryomycetaceae. The record is from RNAcentral.